Molecule: ribosomal RNA, 482 nt
Filed under: uncultured rumen protozoa
Lineage: Eukaryota
Description: bacterial SSU rRNA
Rfam family: Eukaryotic small subunit ribosomal RNA
Source: RNAcentral
CUUCCUGAUUCUACUUGGCGCGCUCGCGCCUCCCCUUUGGCGUCUUUUUUUGUGCUUCCGGGGGGCGGACGAAACCUUAACAUGAUAAAUAAGUCGUCCCCAUUUUAUGGGGCACGACUUCUUAGAGGGACUAUGCAUAUCAAGUGCAUGGAAGUUUGAGGCUGUGGCUGGUGUGGUGGUGACCUUAUAUGUCCUGGGCUGCACGCGUGCUACUCUUAUGCAUACAACAAGUGCCUAGCUAACAUAGUAUGGCAAUCUGGAAUAUGCAUCGUGAUGGGGAUAGAUCUUUGCAAUUAUACCUCUUGAACCGGAAUUCAAUAGUAAGUGCAAGUCAUCAUCUGCAUUUAUUAUGUCCCUGCCCUUUGUACACACCGCCCGUUCCUCCUACCGAUCCCGGGUGAUCCGGUGAACCUUUGGACCUCAUAGGAAAAAAAGAACGCACACCCCUUCCGAAGUCGUAACAAGAAGGAAGGAACCGCAGC